UUGAAAUUUGCGGAUUCUUUGGCUUCUUCUGAUGACCAUCUUCCUUGGAACAUGGUGGAACCUAAGUGAGCUCCCCAGCCUGUGCUUGAGGCGUUUGUAGUGACUACCAACCAAUCCCUUGAUUGAAAAGACAAUCCUCCUGAAAGGCAUUCUGCCGUUUUCCACCAAGCUAGCUGAUUUUUUACAUGAGAUGAUAGCUUGAAG
Pelobates cultripes (western spadefoot toad) is the source of this 204-nucleotide non-coding RNA. The record is from the annotation of a GenBank genome assembly. Lineage: Eukaryota; Metazoa; Chordata; Amphibia; Anura; Pelobatidae.